RNAcentral lists this ribosomal RNA (439 nucleotides) under uncultured bacterium. RNAcentral describes it as "partial 16S ribosomal RNA". It matches the Rfam family "Bacterial small subunit ribosomal RNA", at positions 339 to 795 of the family's 1533-position model. The record is from RNAcentral.
CUACGGGUCGCAGCAGUGAGGAAUAUUGCACAGUGGGGGGAACCCUGAUGCAGCAACGCCGCGUGGAGGAUGACGCAUUUCGGUGUGUAAACUCCUUUUAUAUGUCAAGAAAAUGACGGUAGCAUAUGAAUAAGCGCCGGCUAACUCCGUGCCAGCAGCCGCGGUAAUACGGAGGGCGCAAGCGUUACUCGGAAUCACUGGGCGUAAAGGACGCGUAGGCGGGUUGAAAAGUCAGGUGUGAAAGCCUACAGCUUAACUGUAGAACUGCACUUGAAACUCUCAAUCUAGAGUAUGGGAGGGGCAGAUGGAAUUAGUGGUGUAGGGGUAAAAUCCGUAGAUAUCACUAGGAAUACCUAAAGCGAAGGCGAUCUGCUGGAACAUUACUGACGCUAAGGCGUGAAAGCGUGGGGAGCAAACAGGAUUAGAUACCCUCGUAGUC